CAAUAGCGUAUAUUAAAGUUGUUGCAGUUAAAAAGCUCGUAGUUGGAUCUCGGGUCCAGGCUUGUGGUGCAGCUUAGGCUGCUUACUGCUUGUCCUGACCUACCUGCCGGUUUUCCCUUGGUGCUCUUAAGUGAGUGUCUUGGGUGGCCGGAACGUUUACUUUGAAAAAAUUAGAGUGCUCAAAGCAGGCUUUCGCCUGAAUAUUAGUGCAUGGAAUAAUUGAAUAGGACCUCGGUUCUAUUUUGUUGGUUUUCGGAACUCGAGGUAAUGAUUAAGAGGGACAGACGGGGGCAUUCGUAUUACGGUGUUAGAGGUGAAAUUCUUGGAUCGCCGUAAGACGAACUACUGCGAAAGCAUUUGCCAAGAAUGUUUUCAUUAGUCAAGAACGAAAGUUAGAGGUUCGAAGACGAUCAGAUACCGUCGUAGUUCUAACCAUAAACGAUGCCAACUAGCGAUCCGCCGGAGUUGUUUCAAUGACUCGGCGGGCAGCUUCCGGGAAACCAAAGUCUUUGGGUUCCGGGGGAAGUAUGGUUGCAAAGCUGAAACUUAAAGGAAUUGACGGAAGG
RNAcentral lists this ribosomal RNA (566 nucleotides) under Aphelochaeta marioni. RNAcentral describes it as "SSU rRNA". It matches the Rfam family "Eukaryotic small subunit ribosomal RNA", at positions 592 to 1163 of the family's 1831-position model. Lineage: Eukaryota; Metazoa; Annelida; Polychaeta; Terebellida; Cirratulidae. The record is from RNAcentral.